UAUCAGAGGCGUGGGGCCAGGAGUGGUGGGGCCGGGCGUGUGCCCUCCCUGUCGCCGGGGCUGGGCUCCCGGCCCCUGGGGCCCCUGGGGUCCUUGGCCUUUAGGCCGUGAGUUGGGCUGCCUGACUGUGGAGUCUGGUUCCUGUUGCCCUGGGGGAAGGCCGAGCUCCGUGGCUCCCUGGGUGCGGACCGGCCUGUAAGCAGGCUGUGGGUCCGGGCGCCUUUGUGCGCCCUUCAGCUGGCAGCCUGCGUUGAGCGCCCUCCCCGUUAGUGGGGAGUGGGCCCGAAUUGGAGAGAAGGAGCCUCCGUAGGCCUCGGGGACCAGGGCCGCCCUGUAAGUCGGGGCCGGUGCUCUGGAGUCCCGGGCAUUUUGCAGUGCAGGCAGCGGCUGGGGCCGCCCUGUAAGCAGGGGUGCAGCCUCUUGCGCGCUGCUUUGCUUUGUGCCCAGCUUCUUUUGCCCAGAGGGCCCGGCUCCCAGCGCGGCGUUGGACUUUGGCGGACGUCGAGGUGGAGCCGAGCGACGGCCGGGCAAGGACAAGCUGGAUGAGCGUCAGCUUCGAGGUCAAGAGUGGAACGGCGAGGCAAGAGCGAGCUCGGAGCAGAAGAAGGAGCACGAGAGGCCCUCUGGGCAAAAGGCCUUGGUGGCACGGCCAGGGCACCUUCAAGGUGCCGCGGCUGACUUUGCUUGUGCUGGGCGACCUCCCUGCGUGCAGGGCUGCGUCUUUGCUCUGCUUGGCCUUUUGCCGUUGUGCUCCUUUGGCUGCCUGGAGAGAGGGGCAACCCUGUAAGGAGGGUGAGAGCCCCUUUUCUCUGCACCUGAGGGGGGAAACGGAGCUCCCCGAGCCCCCAGCCCGGCCGCCCUGUAAGCGGGGCAGGGCUUUUUCCCAGCCGUGGCAGCUUUCUGCCUGCUGCUGGCCCCUGGCCAGCGUUACCCCCUGUACUCGGGGCGCGUCACAGCCUUUGUCCCCGUAGCAGCCCUGAAGCGCCUCAGCGCGUCGAGGCCCCUGUGCCCUCCCCACGGUGCGGUGCGGUGCAGGUCUGAUGCUUUUGUCUCCUGCUGAGCACUGGGGGUGGCUCCCUUGAGCCCUUUGGCUGCACGGGACUCGCUCCCUCUUCUGGGACAACUGUCUUCCCCUCCCUCCCUUGUCAUUGCGUUAGGUGGUGUGAAUGAGCCCGGCGCGUUUGCGCUUUAGCCCCCCUUUAGAAAUAGAGCAGGGUAGCUUAGGCUUCCCAGGAGAGCCCGAGGAGCUCCGUGCAGCCACAAGCCGGUCCCCAAAACGCUUGCGUGGACAAAGUGUCUGGCCUCGCCCCUGCUUUCUGCGGAGGGCACGAAGCCGCUUAACGGUAGCGUGGGCAACGUGACCCGCCUGUAGCCAGGGCCUGGGUCUGGGCCUAGGGUGCCCUUUGUGCUGGUGAACUGGCAGCGUGCGGGCCCCUUAACCUGGGCACGUGUCAGGAACUUGCUUGUCCCUUUUUCCCCAGGAGCAGCCCCAGGGCCCUGUAAGCAGAGGUGGGGAGGCUGCUUUAGCCGGGUGACAGGAACGCCUGCGCCCGGGCCUUUGCCCCUAAGCGGGGCGCAGGCCGGAGCCCGUGCUCCGUGGCGCUUGUUGGGGGGUGCCGGGCUGCGGGGGGCGGCCCCGUAAGCGGGGUUGUGUGCGCCCCCUGGUCUCGGCGGGCGGUUGGAGGGACCCCCUGUAAUCAGGCGGGUGUCCCUGGCCCCAGCCUAUCAGAGGCGUGGGGCCAGGAGUGGUGGGGCCGGGCGUGUGCCCUCCCUGUCGCCGGGGCUGGGCUCCCGGCCCCUGGGGCCCCUGGGGUCCUUGGCCUUUAGGCCGUGAGUUGGGCUGCCUGACUGUGGAGUCUGGUUCCUGUUGCCCUGGGGGAAGGCCGAGCUCCGUGGCUCCCUGGGUGCGGACCGGCCUGUAAGCAGGCUGUGGGUCCGGGCGCCUUUGUGCGCCCUUCAGCUGGCAGCCUGCGUUGAGCGCCCUCCCCGUUAGUGGGGAGUGGGCCCGAAUUGGAGAGAAGGAGCCUCCGUAGGCCUCGGGGACCAGGGCCGCCCUGUAAGUCGGGGCCGGUGCUCUGGAGUCCCGGGCAUUUUGCAGUGCAGGCAGCGGCUGGGGCCGCCCUGUAAGCAGGGGUGCAGCCUCUUGCGCGCUGCUUUGCUUUGUGCCCAGCUUCUUUUGCCCAGAGGGCCCGGCUCCCAGCGCGGCGUUGGACUUUGGCGGACGUCGAGGUGGAGCCGAGCGACGGCCGGGCAAGGACAAGCUGGAUGAGCGUCAGCUUCGAGGUCAAGAGUGGAACGGCGAGGCUAGAGCGAGCUGCGUUAGGCACUUUCCUUACUGAGGUCUUUUAUUGACAGCGUUGUUCUUUUUUAUGUAUAACGUCUUUUUUAUAUUUUGUAUUGUUUCUUUUAUGUUGUUUUAUGAAUAUAAAUAAAAA
Oenanthe melanoleuca is the source of this 2435-nucleotide long non-coding RNA. RefSeq lists it as uncharacterized. NCBI's taxonomy places the organism in Eukaryota, Metazoa, Chordata, Aves, Passeriformes, Muscicapidae. The transcript has 3 exons. The record is from RefSeq and is a predicted model, not a curated record.